Molecule: non-coding RNA, 126 nt
Organism: Triticum aestivum (bread wheat)
Lineage: Eukaryota; Viridiplantae; Streptophyta; Magnoliopsida; Poales; Poaceae
Source: Rfam
CUAAUACUCCCCCCAUCCGAAAAAACUUGUCCCAAGUUUGUCUCUCAAAUGGAUGUAUCUAGCACUAACUUGGUGUUAGAUACAUCCAUUUGAGGGACAAGUUUUCUCGGGCGGAGGGAGUAUGUG